Molecule: transfer RNA, 64 nt
Filed under: Cavia porcellus (domestic guinea pig)
Lineage: Eukaryota; Metazoa; Chordata; Mammalia; Rodentia; Caviidae
Rfam family: tRNA
About the family: Transfer RNA (tRNA) molecules are approximately 80 nucleotides in length.
Source: Rfam by way of RNAcentral
GGGGAUUUAGCUCAGCGGCAUAAGCGCCUGCCUUGCAAGCAGGCAGUUGUGAGUUCAAUCCCUC